This 251-nucleotide ribosomal RNA is filed under the name uncultured bacterium. Its description in RNAcentral is "partial 16S ribosomal RNA". It matches the Rfam family "Bacterial small subunit ribosomal RNA", at positions 78 to 334 of the family's 1533-position model. The record is from RNAcentral.
CCUUAGAUGGCGACCGGCGCACGGGUGAGUAACGCGUAUGCAACCUGCCUCAUACUCGGGGAUAGCCUUUCGAAAGAAAGAUUAAUAUCCGAUAGCAUAUAUUUCCCGCAUGGGUUUUAUAUUAAAGAAAUUCGGUAUGAGAUGGGGAUGCGUUCCAUUAGUUUGUUGGGGGGGUAACGGCCCACCAAGACUACGAUGGAUAGGGGUUCUGAGAGGAAGGUCCCCCACAUUGGAACUGAGACACGGUCCAA